This 540-nucleotide ribosomal RNA is filed under the name uncultured bacterium. RNAcentral's name for it is "bacterial LSU rRNA". It matches the Rfam family "Bacterial large subunit ribosomal RNA", at positions 28 to 611 of the family's 2925-position model. The record is from RNAcentral.
AUGCCUUGGCGAUUACAGGCGAAGAAGGACGUACAAGCCUGCGAAAAGCUCUGGGGAGCUGGCAAUGAAGCUUUGAUCCAGAGAUAUCCGAAUGGGGAAACCCACUCCGCAAGGAGUAUCCCACGCUGAAUACAUAGGCGUGAGGAAGCGAACCCGGCGAACUGAAACAUCUAAGUAGCCGGAGGAAAAGAAAUCAACCGAGAUUCCCAAAAGUAGUGGCGAGCGAAAUGGGAACAGCCUGCAAGUGAUAGCGAUUGCGUUAGCGGAAGUCUCUGGAAAGUGGCGCCGUAGUGGGUGACAGCCCCGUACGCGAAAACCCGAUCGUGGUACCAAGCUUGCGACAAGUAGGGCGGGGCACGAGAAAUCCUGUCUGAAUAUGGGGGGCCCAUCCUCCAAGGCUAAAUACUCGUAAUCGACCGAUAGUGAACCAGUACCGUGAGGGAAAGCGAAAAGAACCCCGGGAGGGAGUGAAAUAGAUCCUGAAACCGCAUGCAUACAAAACAGUGGGAGCCCCUUCGUGGGUGACUGCGUACCUUUUGU